Molecule: ribosomal RNA, 408 nt
Filed under: uncultured bacterium
Lineage: Bacteria
Description: partial 16S ribosomal RNA
Rfam family: Bacterial small subunit ribosomal RNA
Source: RNAcentral
GACGAACGCUGGCGGCGUGCUUAACACAUGCAAGUCGAACGACUUGGCGAACUGAUGAGUAACGCAUACUCAACCUGCCCUUCAGAGGGUGACAACUGCUGGAAACGACUGCUAAUACCGCAUACUGAAGGAGGGGAUUGCGUCUGAUUAGCUAGUUGGAGGGGUAACGGCCCACCAAGGCGAUGAUCAGUAGCCUGUCUGAGCGGAUGAACGGCCACAUUGGGACUGAGACACGGCCCAGACUCCUACGGGAGGUAGCAGUGGGGAAGCUUCCGCAAUGGACGAAAGUCUGACGGAGCAACGCCGCGUGAGUGAUGACGGCCUUCGGGUUGUAAAGCUCUGUUAAUCGGGACGCGGUACCGGAAUAGAAAGCCACAGCUAACUACGUGCCAGCAGCCGCGGUAAUAC